UACGGAGGCCUCGAGCGUUGUUCGGAAUCACUGGGCUUAAAGCGCGUGUAGGCGGAGCGGUAAGUACUUUGUGAAAUCCCCGGCUUCAAUCCGGGAACUGCUAGGUAUACUGUCGCUCUUGAGGCAGGUAGGGGUCACUGGAACCUUAGGUGGAGCGGUGAAAUGCGUAGAUAUCUAAGGGAACGCCUGUGGCGAAAGCGGGUGACUGGGCCUGUCCUGACGCUGAGACGCGAAAGCGUAGGGAGCAAACGGG
This 253-nucleotide ribosomal RNA is filed under the name uncultured bacterium. RNAcentral's name for it is "partial 16S ribosomal RNA". It matches the Rfam family "Bacterial small subunit ribosomal RNA", at positions 524 to 776 of the family's 1533-position model. The record is from RNAcentral.